Molecule: ribosomal RNA, 505 nt
Filed under: uncultured bacterium
Lineage: Bacteria
Description: partial 16S ribosomal RNA
Rfam family: Bacterial small subunit ribosomal RNA
Source: RNAcentral
GACGAACGCUGGCGGCGUGCCUAAUACAUGCAAGUAGAACGCACAGUUUAUACCGUAGCUUGCUACACCAUAGACUGUGAGUUGCGAACGGGUGAGUAACGCGUAGGUAACCUGCCUGGUAGCGUGGGAUAACUAUUGGAAACGAUAGCUAAUACCGCAUCAUAUUAAUUAUUGCAUGAUAAUUAAUUGAAAGCUGCAAUUGCACCACUACCAGAUGGACCUGCUUUGUAUUAGCUAGUAGGUGAGGUAACGGCUCACCUAGGCGACGAUACAUAGCCGGCCUGAGAGGGUGAACCGCCACAAUGGGACUGAGACAAGGCCCAGAAUCCUACGGGAGGCAGCAGUAGGGAAUCUUCGGAAAUAGACGAAAGGCUGACCGAGCAAAGCCGCGUGAGUGAAGAAGGUUUUCGGAUCGUAAAGCUCUGUUGUAAGAGAAGAAAGGGUGUGAGAGUGGAAAGUUCACACUGUGACGGUAUCUUACCAGAAAGGGACGGCUAACUACGUG